GACGAACGCUGGCGGCGUGCUUAACACAUGCAAGUCGAACGGAAAGGCCCCUUCGGGGGUACUCGAGUGGCGAACGGGUGAGUAACACGUGAGUAACCUGCCCUUGACUUCGGGAUAACUUCAGGAAACUGGGGCUAAUACCGGAUAGGAAUCCUUGCUGCAUGGUGGGGGUUGGAAAGCUUCGGCGGUUUUGGAUGGACUCGCGGCUUAUCAGCUUGUUGGUGGGGUAGUGGCUUACCAAGGCUUUGACGGGUAGCCGGCCUGAGAGGGCGACCGGCCACAUUGGGACUGAGAUACGGCACAGACUCCUACGGGAGGCAGCAGUGGGGAAUAUUGCACAAUGGGCGGAAGCCUGAUGCAGAAACGCCGCGUGCGGGAUGACGGCCUUCGGGUUGUAAACCGCUUUCAGCAGGGGCGAAGCUUGUGGUGACGGUACCUGCAGAAGAAGCACCGGCUAACUACGUG
RNAcentral lists this ribosomal RNA (465 nucleotides) under uncultured bacterium. Its description in RNAcentral is "partial 16S ribosomal RNA". It matches the Rfam family "Bacterial small subunit ribosomal RNA", at positions 28 to 507 of the family's 1533-position model. The record is from RNAcentral.